RNAcentral lists this long non-coding RNA (210 nucleotides) under Salvia miltiorrhiza (redroot sage). RNAcentral describes it as "long non-coding RNA (SMIL_LNC009606)". Lineage: Eukaryota; Viridiplantae; Streptophyta; Magnoliopsida; Lamiales; Lamiaceae. The record is from RNAcentral.
GCUCGUCACGUCAAUCAAUACGGACUGUCAUAGUCUGACUCAUCCACUAUCGGAGUAUAGACAGGUGUCUCAGGGAUAGGUAUCCAUGUAUCAACUCCAUCGGCAGUAGUCUGUCGCUGUAGUGGCUGGGUCCAACCAUAGCCGACCGUCAUCUCUGGAGUCUCCUCAUCGGGGUCCUCCUCAUUACUAUCGGAGCAUGCCGGCCGAGAU